Hyaena hyaena (striped hyena) is the source of this 3524-nucleotide RNA transcript. It is a transcript of the gene named transmembrane protein 209, with no coding region annotated. NCBI's taxonomy places the organism in Eukaryota, Metazoa, Chordata, Mammalia, Carnivora, Hyaenidae. The record is from RefSeq and is a predicted model, not a curated record. The transcript is spliced from 16 exons.
GUUGCCUUCGCCUUAGCGCUUGGCUUCGCGCAUGUGCAGUAAAGGGUGGCGCGAGCCAGCAGCUUCCGGCCGAAGAACAUGAUGCAAGGGGAGGCAAGUCCUAGUGCUUCUCUUAUUGACAGAACCAUCAAGAUGAGAAAAGAAACGGAAGCUAAGAAAGUGGUUUUAGCCUGGGGCCUCCUAAAUGUAUCUAUGGCUGGAAUGAUCUAUACUGAAAUGACUGGAAAAUUGAUUAGUUCAUAUUAUAAUGUGACAUACUGGCCCCUUUGGUAUAUUGAGCUUGCCCUUGCAUCCCUCUUCAGCCUGAAUGCCUUAUUUGAUUUUUGGAGGUAUUUCAAAUACACUGUGGCACCAACAAGUCUGGUUGUUAGUCCUGGACAGCAAACACUUUUAGGGUUGAAAACAGCUGUUGUACAGACUACUCCUCCACAUGAUCUGGCAGCAACCCAAAUCCCUCCCUCUCCAUCUUCUCCUUCAAUUCAGGGUCAGAGUGUGUUGAGCUAUAGCCCAUCUCGUUCACCCAGUACCAGCCCCAAGUUCACCACCAGCUGUAUAACCGGAUACAGCCCUCAGCUGCAAGGUCUGUCAUCAGGUGGCAGCGGGUCCUAUAGUCCCGGAGUGACUUACUCUCCCAUCAGUGGUUAUAAUAAGUUGGCAAGCUAUAGUCCCUCUCCUUCUUCUCCGUACCCUACAACUGUUGGACCAGUGGAGGGCAGUGGGCUGAGAUCUCGCUACCGUUCUUCACCCACUGUCUACAACUCCCCUACUGACAAAGAAGACUACAUGACAGACCUACGAACUUUGGAUACUUUUCUUAGAAGUGAGGAAGAGAAACAGCAUAGAGUUAAGCUGGGGAGUCCAGAUUCUACCUCGCCUUCCACCAGCCCUACGUUCUGGAACUACAAUCGUUCUAUGGGAGAUUAUGCACAGACUUUAAAGAAGUUUCAGUAUCAGCUUGCCUGUAGGUCUCAGGCCCCGUGUGCUAACAAAGAUGAAGCUGAUCUCAGUUCUAAACAAGCUGCAGAGGAGGUUUGGGCAAGAGUGACUAUGAAUAGACAACUUCUUGAUCAUAUGGAUUCAUGGACAGCUAAGUUCAGAAAUUGGAUCAAUGAGACAAUAUUAGUGCCACUGGUACAAGAGAUCGAGUCUGUCAGCACCCAGAUGAGACGAAUGGGUUGUCCCGAGCUUCAGAUAGGAGAGGCUAGCAUUACUAGCUUGAAGCAAGCUGCUCUGGUCAAAGCUCCCCUCAUUCCAACUUUGAACACAAUUGUGCAGUAUCUAGACCUAACACCGAAUCAGGAAUACUUGUUUGAAAGGAUUAAAGAACUUUCUCAGGGAGGCUGUAUGAGUUCAUUUCGAUGGAAUAGAGGUGGAGACUUCAAAGGACGGAAGUGGGAUACAGACCUGCCCACUGAUUCUGCAAUCAUCAUGCAUGUAUUUUGCACCUACCUUGACUCCAGAUUACCUCCACAUCCUAAGUACCCUGAUGGGAAAACAUUUACUUCUCAGCACUUUGUUCAGACACCAAAUAAACCAGAUGUGACAAAUGAGAAUGUUUUUUGCAUUUAUCAGAGUGCUAUCAACCCUCCCCAUUAUGAGCUAAUCUACCAGCGUCAUGUCUACAACCUUCCAAAGGGCCGAAAUAAUAUGUUUCAUACAUUGUUAAUGUUUCUCUAUAUCAUAAAAACCAAAGAGUCAGGAAUGCUUGGUUUUGCUUAAGCAUCCUGUUUUAUACAUGUUCUAGAACUACUUUGUCUCAUACAGCAGCCAUCAGCCACGUGUGGCUUUGAGCACUUGAAACAAGACUAAUCUGAAUUGAGAUGUUCUGAGAGUUAAUCUUGGUCUCUCCGGUGUGAAUAUUUUGUGGAUUUUUGGCGAGUAGCGGGUCAUUUAAUCCCAAACAUUUGGACUUCUAUUUGAUUGAACCAGGAGUUGAAUCUAAGGAUCUCUGAGUCACUGCCUCUUUUGAAAUAAGAUACAUAUGUGUGUAUUAACAGACUCUUCUAGAUUUAAUGAAAAAUUAGCUGUUAUGAAACUUCUUGUGAAAGUAUUUCCCAUGUUCUCUAUACCAAGAGACAUUCCCUUCACUUUUUUUAUUACCUUUCAGAUUUUUCAAUUGUCUAUAAAACUGAGCCAUCAGGUAUUUGUUGACCCCAAACAGUGCAAUUUCCCCUUAAUUAAGAAAGUUUUGUCCUUUUUCAUUGUAACCUACAAAUGAGAAUCAUCCACCUGAUUUUUCCCCACAAAAAAUUAUUUUUUUAAUCACAUUAUUUGGUGUAAAUAUUUAAACAAGGAAAUUGCUAAUUCAGCUUUUUUUUUUUAUCACUUUACUUUCCCCUUAUUCUUCAGAUCAGCCCAAGGCCCAUAUUUAAAGAAAUGAGAAAAACUUCUAAGUAAUGUAUUAGUCCAUGUAUAUUUUUAAGUACUAUUGAAAGAUGUUUGACAGUAUUGGCAUUUUUAGAAGUCUGCUCUUAGAUUAACUCACAGAGUUAAACUAUCUGGGUCUUAGGUUAAAAGACUGAAGACAUUAAGAAACUGUUGCUUUGGUUUUAAUAAUUCAUUUGUGUUAUUUUAAGAGUUCUCUUUUAAGAUCAUGCGAUAACUUAAAAUUUUUUUAGAUAUGUUCAAAAUAUCUGGAGAGUAAGAAGUAACUGAACCUGGCUUGACUCUGUUUUCUUCCACAUCUAUGUAGACGACCUUGAAGGCCAGCUAGCAAGUGCAUUUGUUUCCAGAUCAACGUACUGUUAGACACCACUUCUGUCACCUUAUGUAAACCUGGGAACAGCUAAAAACUCAUAAUCUUCUGAGUAACUGCAUUUUGGUCCUAUAUAUGCAGCUCAUUUUUAAUAAUUUGUAAAUUCUGUUUUUCAAAAAGGUGUUCCUGUUUUUUGAAAGUUGUAUGUCCAGAGGAAAGGAGGUUUCUUUUCACUGCUUUUGAUGUAUGUUAAAUACAUUUGCUGUGGUAUUUUAGAAAAAGAUGUCUAUUAAACAUGUUAGGUAUAAGAACAUGUGAAAAUCUAAGUACUGUUUCAAAACUUACUGAAGAUGUCAUGGAAUAACAGUUUUAUACUGUUAAUAUCUUUAUUAAAGGGAAUAAGGAGAAAAACUGUAACACAUAAGAUAAUUUUUUUUUCUUUAUAGGACUUAUGGCAGCUUUUAGUCCAAAGAUUCAAAGCUAUAAUAAUUUUAUUUUGUGAGUGACUAUCAAAAAAAUAUAUGGGAAAUACACAUGUACAAAGACUAGAGAUACAUACUAAAAAAGAGAAGCUCUUCUGUUUGCAUACUGUGAGUCUAGUGUGGGUUACUGUAUUCUAGGUAGUUUUCCUAUAUUGACUAGUCUCCACAAGUGUUUGAGCCAGCUUAUACUUUAAUGUAGCCUUUAUGAAAAAUACUUUGAUGAAUUAGUUGGAAUUCACACUUCAGGAAGAAGUACACUGCAAAUAUGGUAAUUUUUUUUUUUUUGGUCUUUGUGUUAUAAUGAGUAAAUACCCACUUUUCUCUAAUUAAAUGUUACUUACAGGGUA